This is a long non-coding RNA of Metopolophium dirhodum (rose-grain aphid), 1460 nucleotides long. RefSeq lists it as uncharacterized. NCBI's taxonomy places the organism in Eukaryota, Metazoa, Arthropoda, Insecta, Hemiptera, Aphididae. The transcript is spliced from 5 exons. The record is from RefSeq and is a predicted model, not a curated record.
UAUAUUUUAAAGUAGUUAGUGGUGUGUAAGGUUUUGUAAGGCUUUCAGUGCCAUCGAUCUGUAUUGUAAACCGUUCGCAUGUAGAAGGCGGUACUAAAUGCCUUCGUUAUUCGUUUGAUUUUCAUCUGCCGUUCCUCUCAGUUUGCAGCGAGGUUUGAAGCAUGUUUACAGGUGCAGUCGAAGCCAACGUUGCAUACAAGUGUAUUUUUCAUUUGUGUUGUACAAAAUCAAUGUUCUAUUGUUUUGUUGGGAGUUUGCUGUUCUUACGUUUUCUAGCGAUGAGUGUUGAACAUAAGUAUUGUGUAUUUUGUUCGUCUUCUGACUGUGGCUAAGUGGUCACUUAGAUUAAAUCUACCACUCAACACAGUCUAAUACUCAAUUUAUUGAAAACGCUGUUGCUAGUGGACAUAUAGAGAGUUCGGCGUUUGCUGAAAGUUGUGGAUACCCAUGGACACAAAAUCAUUUAUGUACCUGCGGGAAAAUGGGUGCCCAUGGGACAAAUCCACAUGUGAGGCGACUGCGGCAUGGGGGCACAUUGAUGUACUUCGGUAUGCUCACGAAUGCAGCUGUCCCUGGGAUUCAGCCACGUAUCGGGAAGCCGUAGCCCACGGCUACCUAACGUGUCCGGAGUAUGAACUUGAAAAUGGUUGCCUAUUGGACAGUAUGACAUGUGAAGAUGCUGCAGCCAGUGGCUAUCUCAGCUGUCUAGUGUAUGAACACAGCAACAGCAGCCUUUGGAGCCUUUGGAGCCUGUUGGAGAUCGUCACAGAGGCUCAUUGUACACGCUUUGGUGUCGUAUACAACUCACAAAUACAUUGAACUUUAAAGAAUACUUGAUGAAGGAACAUACAGUUGCCAGUAGACAUAUGGAGUGUUUGGCGUUUGCUGAAAGUCGUGGGUACCUAUGGACAUGAAAUAUAUGCGUGCAGGUGGCCGCCAUUGGAUAGCUCGAGUGCCUCAAGUACCCGCGUGACCAGGACGUUUCCCUUAAACUAGUACUCCACGGCCAACAGCCACUUGAAGUGCCUGCGGCACGCACAUGAACAGUCUGUGGGAAUUUUGUCUGUGGGACUCGAUCGUCUGCGAGAAAGCGGCCGGCAAUGGACAACUUGAGUGUUUGGAGACCCUGUGGGACAUCGGGUGUCCACGGGACGAAUCGACAUGUAAGGCGGUCGUGGCGAGUGGGCACAUUGACGUACUUUGUUAUGCUCACGAACAUGACUGUCCCUGGGAUUCGGCCACGUGUCAGGAAGCCGCGGCCCACGCCCAUCUAACGUGUCUGGAGUACGCACAUGAAAAUGGUUGCCUGUGGGACAGUACAACAUGUAAAGAGGCCGCAUCCAGCGUUUUCCCGGUUUUUUAAGUUUUGUUUUUAAUACUGCUUCAAUCCUUUAAAAAUCAUAUAUAACUAUGUAUAUUAAUUACAAUAUAAUAUAUACCUUUUGAAAUUAUUCAAGUUA